GAUGAACGCUGGCGGCGUGCCUAAUACAUGCAAGUCGAGCGAACAGACGAGGAUCUUGCUUCUCUGACGUUAGCGGCGGACGGGUGAGUAAAACGUGGAUAACCUACCUAUAAGACUGGGAUAACUUCCGGAAACCGUAGCUAGUACCGGAUAAUAUAUUGAACCGCAUGGUUCAAUAGCCCAAGACGGUUUUGCUGUCACUUGUAGAUGGAUCCGCGCCGCAUUAGCUAGUUGGUAAGGUAACGGCUUACCAAGGCAACGAUGCGUAGCCGACCUGAGAGGGUGAUCCGCCACACUGGAACUGAGACACGGUCCAGACGCCUACGGGAGGCAGCAGUAGGGAAUCUUCCGCAAUGGGCGAAAGCCUGAAGGAGCAACGCCGCGUGAGUGAUGAAGGUCUUCGGAUCGUAAAACUCUGUUAUUAGGGAAGAACAAAUGUGUAAUUAACUAUGCACGCCUUGACGGUACCAAAUCAGAAAGCCACGGCUAACUACGUG
RNAcentral lists this ribosomal RNA (497 nucleotides) under uncultured bacterium. Its description in RNAcentral is "partial 16S ribosomal RNA". It matches the Rfam family "Bacterial small subunit ribosomal RNA", at positions 28 to 507 of the family's 1533-position model. The record is from RNAcentral.